Molecule: ribosomal RNA, 237 nt
Filed under: Salmonella enterica subsp. enterica serovar Typhimurium
Lineage: Bacteria; Pseudomonadati; Pseudomonadota; Gammaproteobacteria; Enterobacterales; Enterobacteriaceae
Description: partial 16S ribosomal RNA
Rfam family: Bacterial small subunit ribosomal RNA
Source: RNAcentral
UGAGACACGGUCCAGACUCCUACGGGAGGCAGCAGUGGGGAAUAUUGCACAAUGGGCGCAAGCCUGAUGCAGCCAUGCCGCGUGUAUGAAGAAGGCCUUCGGGUUGUAAAGUACUUUCAGCGGGGAGGAAGGUGUUGUGGUUAAUAACCGCAGCAAUUGACGUUACCCGCAGAAGAAGCACCGGCUAACUCCGUGCCAGCAGCCGCGGUAAUACGGAGGGUGCAAGCGUUAAUCGGA